RNAcentral lists this ribosomal RNA (451 nucleotides) under uncultured bacterium. RNAcentral's name for it is "bacterial SSU rRNA". It matches the Rfam family "Bacterial small subunit ribosomal RNA", at positions 354 to 796 of the family's 1533-position model. The record is from RNAcentral.
GUCGAGGAUCAUUGGCAAUGCGCGAAAGCGUGACCAUGCGACGCUGCGUGGAGGAUGAAGGCCUUCGGGUUGUAAACUCCUGUCAUGAGGGAAAAACCGUCCCAAUGUGAACAGCAUUGGGGCCCGAUGGUACCUCAAGAGGAAGCCACGGCUAACUCUGUGCCAGCAGCCGCGGUAAUACAGAGGUGGCGAGCGUUGUUCGGAUUUACUGGGCGUAAAGGGUGCGUAGGUGGUUUCGUGUGUCGGAUGUGAAAGCCCACCGCCUAACGGUGGAAUGGCAUUCGAAACUGCGGAACUAGAGUGCAGGAAGGGAGAGUGGAAUUCUUGGUGUAGCGGUGAAAUGCGUUGAUAUCAAGAGGAACACCGGCGGCGAAGGCGGCUCUCUGGAAUGCAACUGACACUGAGGCACGAAAGCUGGGGGAGCAAACAGGAUUAGAUACCCUUGUAGUCC